RNAcentral lists this transfer RNA (332 nucleotides) under Polynucleobacter sphagniphilus. RNAcentral's name for it is "tRNA-Met". The stretch from base 25 to 285 matches the Rfam family "Group I catalytic intron". Rfam says of the family: Group I catalytic introns are large self-splicing ribozymes. They catalyse their own excision from mRNA, tRNA and rRNA precursors in a wide range of organisms. Lineage: Bacteria; Pseudomonadati; Pseudomonadota; Betaproteobacteria; Burkholderiales; Burkholderiaceae. The record is from RNAcentral.
GGGCCUAUAGCUCAGUUGGUUAGAGCAGAGGACUCAUAGCGAAAGUUGUGCCUUGCACGUGGAAACUGUGUAAGGGAUGGUGUCAAAUUCGGAGAAACCUAAAGACGUUUAAACGAAUUAGUGUAUUUGCUACUAAGUACACAAAUCGUUUUAAACGAAUAUGGCAACGCCGAGCGAAGCUUCAACAUGAAAGUGUUGUUGAACGUGUAGAGACUAGACGGCACCCAUCUAAGUCGAGCAAUCGAUAUGAUGAAGGCAUAGUCCAGGGAGUUAGGAAACUAACACAAACCGGAAUCCUUUGGUCCCAGGUUCAAGUCCUGGUGGGCCCACCA